AAUAUUUGACAAUGGGGGCAACCCUGAUCCAGCCAUGCCGCGUGGGUGAAGAAGGUCUUCGGAUUGUAAAGCACUUUAUGUUGGGAGGAAGGGCUGUAGGCUAAUACCCUGAAGUUUUGACGUUACCAACGGAACAAGCACCGGCGACCUCUGUGCCGGCAGCCGCGGUAGUACAGAGGGUGCAAGCGUUAAUCGGAAUUACUGGGCGUAAAGCGCGCGUAGGUGGUUCAGUAAGAUGGGUGUGAAAUCCCCGGGCUUAACCUGGGAACUGCUUUCAUAACUGCUGAGCUAGAGUACGGUAGAGGGUAGUGGAAUUUCCUGUGUAGCGGUGAAAUGCGUAGAUAUAGGAAGGAACACCAGUGGCGAAGGCGACUACCUGGACUGAUACUGACACUGAGGUGCGAAAGCGUGGGGAGCAAACA
Molecule: ribosomal RNA, 422 nt
Filed under: uncultured bacterium
Lineage: Bacteria
Description: partial 16S ribosomal RNA
Rfam family: Bacterial small subunit ribosomal RNA
Source: RNAcentral